RNAcentral lists this ribosomal RNA (670 nucleotides) under uncultured bacterium. Its description in RNAcentral is "bacterial SSU rRNA". It matches the Rfam family "Bacterial small subunit ribosomal RNA", at positions 8 to 722 of the family's 1533-position model. The record is from RNAcentral.
AGGGUUUGAUCCUGGCUCAGAACGAACGCUGGCGGCAGGCCUAACACAUGCAAGUCGAGCGCAGUCCUUCGGGACCGAGCGGCGGACGGGUUAGUAACGCGUGGGAACAUACCCUUUUCUACGGAAUAGCCUCGGGAAACUGAGAGUAAUACCGUAUAAGCCCUUCGGGGGAAAGAUUUAUCGGGAAAGGAUUGGCCCGCGUUAGAUUAGAUAGUUGGUGGGGUAAUGGCCUACCAAGUCUACGGUCUAUAGCUGGUUUUAGAGGAUGAUCAGCAACACUGGGACUGAGACACGGCCCAGACUCCUACGGGAGGCAGCAGUGGGGAAUCUUAGACAAUGGGCGCAAGCCUGAUCUAGCCAUGCCGCGUGUGUGAUGAAGGUCUUAGGAUCGUAAAGCACUUUCGCCAGGGAUGAUAAUGACAGUACCUGGUAAAGAAACCCCGGCUAACUCCGUGCCAGCAGCCGCGGUAAUACGGAGGGGGUUAGCGUUGUUCGGAAUUACUGGGCGUAAAGCGUACGUAGGCGGAUUGGAAAGUUGGGGGUGAAAUCCCAGGGCUCAACCCUGGAACUGCCUCCAAAACUAUCAGUCUAGAGUUCGAGAGAGGUGAGUGGAAUUCCAAGUGUAGAGGUGAAAUUCGUAGAUAUUUGGAGGAACACCAGUGGCGAAGGC